GCAGUUGUGGCUCAGUGGUAUAGUGCUUGCCUCGCACGCACGAGACCCUGGGUUCGAUCCUCAGCGCUACA
Molecule: transfer RNA, 71 nt
Filed under: Ictidomys tridecemlineatus (thirteen-lined ground squirrel)
Lineage: Eukaryota; Metazoa; Chordata; Mammalia; Rodentia; Sciuridae
Description: Spermophilus tridecemlineatus (thirteen-lined ground squirrel) tRNA
Rfam family: tRNA
About the family: Transfer RNA (tRNA) molecules are approximately 80 nucleotides in length. Their secondary structure includes four short double-helical elements and three loops (D, anti-codon, and T loops).
Source: Rfam by way of RNAcentral